AGUGGCGAACGGGUGAGUAAUGCAUCGGAACGUACCCAGUAGUGGGGGAUAGCCCGGCGAAAGCCGGAUUAAUACCGCAUACGACCUGAGGGUGAAAGCGGGGGCUCGCAAGACCUCGCGCUAUUGGAGCGGCCGAUGUCAGAUUAGGUAGUUGGUGGGGUAAAGGCCUACCAAGCCUGCGAUCUGUAGCUGGUCUGAGAGGACGACCAGCCACACUGGGACUGAGACACGGCCCAGACUCCUACGGGAGGCAGCAGUGGGGAAUUUUGGACAAUGGGCGCAAGCCUGAUCCAGCCAUGCCGCGUGCGGGAAGAAGGCCUUCGGGUUGUAAACCGCUUUUGUCGGGGAAGAAAAGUUCCGGGUUAAUACCCUGGGAUGCUGACGGUACCUGAAGAAUAAGCACCGGCUAACUACGUGCCAGCAGCCGCGGUAAUACGUAGGGUGCGAGCGUUAAUCGGAAUUACUGGGCGUAAAGCGUGCGCAGGCGGUUGUGCAAGACAGAUGUGAAAUCCCCGGGCUCAACCUGGGAACUGCAUUUGUGACUGCACGACUGGAGUGCGGCAGAGGGGGAUGGAAUUCCGCGUGUAGCAGUGAAAUGCGU
RNAcentral lists this ribosomal RNA (601 nucleotides) under uncultured Aquincola sp. RNAcentral's name for it is "bacterial SSU rRNA". It matches the Rfam family "Bacterial small subunit ribosomal RNA", at positions 94 to 691 of the family's 1533-position model. Lineage: Bacteria; Pseudomonadati; Pseudomonadota; Betaproteobacteria; Burkholderiales; Sphaerotilaceae. The record is from RNAcentral.